GUGUAGCUGACUUGUAAAAUGUGCCGCUGACGGAGAUCCGAGAGGCCCUGGGUGAGGCGCAGAAAAGAGCAAGUGCCGAAGAAGCGCUGAACCAAGAAUCCCGGCUCCUUGCUCAGCCUGUUUCUGGUCCCUUAGUUAAGUCCAAUGGUCAACUUACAAGGGAGGAACUGGUCAAAGAGGAGUUGAAUCUAAAGCUGUAAAUCAUGAUGGGAAGCAAUAUCUGGAUAAGUUGCUGUGGAUGGUGCCAAGAUGUGAAGUUCACACCACAGCAAAUGUGAAGUCAGCAGUACGCAACCACAAGGUGGAAACUUCAAGCAAAACAGGCUGAACGGAACGGGGGGUGGGAGAAGGAG
This 353-nucleotide long non-coding RNA is filed under the name Apteryx rowi (Okarito brown kiwi). RNAcentral describes it as "lncRNA (ENSARWG00000014817.1)". The record is from RNAcentral. Lineage: Eukaryota; Metazoa; Chordata; Aves; Apterygiformes; Apterygidae.